AAUCUUAUUAAAAAAUUUAAAUUGCAAAUUUAAAAAAGAUAACUUAUCUAAGAUUU
This 56-nucleotide transfer RNA is filed under the name Hyalomma scupense. RNAcentral describes it as "tRNA-Cys". Lineage: Eukaryota; Metazoa; Arthropoda; Arachnida; Ixodida; Ixodidae. The record is from RNAcentral.